RNAcentral lists this ribozyme (76 nucleotides) under unclassified sequences. RNAcentral describes it as "HDV ribozyme from F. prausnitzii". It matches the Rfam family "HDV ribozyme from F. prausnitzii". The record is from RNAcentral.
GCCACUCGGAACUUUGCACACCUCUACGUGGUGGGCGGCAGGCAACACAGUGGGAAGCUGUGGCUAAGAUGUAAAG